UACAGAGGUGGCAAGCGUUGUUCGGAAUUACUGGGCGUAAAGGGCGCGUAGGCGGUUCGUUAAGUCCUGUGUGAAAUCCCCCGGCUCAACUGGGGAACUGCACAGGAAACUAGCGGGCUUGAGUUCGGGAGAGGGAAGCGGAAUUCCGGGUGUAGCGGUGAAAUGCGUAGAUAUCCGGAGGAACACCGGUGGCGAAGGCGGCUUCCUGGAC
RNAcentral lists this ribosomal RNA (211 nucleotides) under uncultured bacterium. RNAcentral describes it as "partial 16S ribosomal RNA". It matches the Rfam family "Bacterial small subunit ribosomal RNA", at positions 524 to 734 of the family's 1533-position model. The record is from RNAcentral.